Molecule: ribosomal RNA, 253 nt
Filed under: uncultured bacterium
Lineage: Bacteria
Description: partial 16S ribosomal RNA
Rfam family: Bacterial small subunit ribosomal RNA
Source: RNAcentral
UACAGAGGGUGCAAGCGUUGUUCGGAAUUACUGGGCGUAAAGCGCGUGUAGGUGGCAUGGUAAGUCUCGUGUGAAAGCCCUGGGCUCAACCCAGGAAGUGCGCGAGAUACUGCCGUGCUGGAGUGAUGGAGAGGAUGGCGGAAUUCCCGGUGUAGAGGUGAAAUUCGUAGAUAUCGGGAGGAACACCUGUGGCGAAGGCGGCCAUCUGGACAUUUACUGACACUGAGACGCGAAAGCGUGGGUAGCAAACAGG